UAGAUACCCUGGUAUUAAUAAAAAUAAUAAUUAGUAAUAUUAUUGAAAUUUAAGAAUUUUGGCGGUUAAUUAUUAAUUAGAGGAGCUUGUUUUAGAAAUAAGAAUUAACUCUUUAAAUUUUAAUAAUAAAAAGUUUAUUCAUCUCCGUUAGUAAAUAAAUAAUUGUAUAAAGAAUAUUACUUUUAAUUUCAGGUCAAGAUGUAAUGUUUAUUUAAUAUAAAUUAGCUACAAUUAUAGAAUAAUGGAUUUAUUAAAAGAAGGUAUUUAAAGAAAUUGAAUUUGAUUGUAAUAAUAAUUAGAAAGUUAUUAUGAAUAAGAAUUAUUAAUGUACAUAUUGCCCGUCACUUCUGUUAUUAGGUGGAAUAAGUCGUAACAAAGUA
This 380-nucleotide ribosomal RNA is filed under the name Acrographinotus sp. n. MZSP 72991. RNAcentral describes it as "partial small subunit ribosomal RNA". The record is from RNAcentral. Lineage: Eukaryota; Metazoa; Arthropoda; Arachnida; Opiliones; Gonyleptidae.